Molecule: long non-coding RNA, 550 nt
Filed under: Ananas comosus (pineapple)
Lineage: Eukaryota; Viridiplantae; Streptophyta; Magnoliopsida; Poales; Bromeliaceae
Description: long non-coding RNA (ACOM_LNC023737)
Source: RNAcentral
AAAAGGAAGCGUAUAGGCUUAAAAAAAGGGUUAAUUUCAUACAGCUUCCUGUAAAUAUAUCGAAUAACAAAUAUAUAUUUAUAAAGUUCAACUUUUCAUAUUUAUCCUUGCAAAAGUGCAGUGAUAUUCAUAUUUGCUCAUCUGAUUUAUUACCGUUAAAGUACUAUUUAUUUUUUAACAGAUGAUAAAUAAAAUAAUAUUUUUUUUCAUUACAAAUAUGUCCCUCCAAAAAUCCCAACUAUUAGAAUUAUAAAAAAAUAUCCUCUCAAAAAUCUCCAUCAGUCAACUUUUUGUUUUUACCAUCACAAAUAACAUAAAAGGAGUAAAAAUAUCAAUUUACCUCAUUUACUAAUUAAAAUUAAAUAUUUAAUCUAUGAUUAAUAAUAUUUUUGUUAUGGAUCCUAACAGUAUUGAAAACGUUUGGACUUUUGUGGAAAAAAAAGUGAAAAAUUAAACUUUAUAGAAAUAUACCUGCUAUUUGAUACGUUUAUAGAAAGCUGUAUGCAAUUAAUUUUUAAAAAAAUAUUUUAAAAAAUUAAAAAAAUAAAAG